Molecule: non-coding RNA, 94 nt
Organism: Mycena alexandri
Lineage: Eukaryota; Fungi; Basidiomycota; Agaricomycetes; Agaricales; Mycenaceae
Source: the annotation of a GenBank genome assembly
AGCAGUAUGGUGUAAUGCUGCACACGGGGUUCCCUUGGGCAUUGCGAGGACGCAGUAUAAUCCCGAGGUCCUUGUUCGAAUCAGGGUACUGUUC